UACGGGGGGGGUAAGCGUUGUUCGGAAUUACUGGGCGUAAAGGGCUCGUAGGCGGCCAACUAAGUCAGACGUGAAAUCCCUCAGCUUAACUGGGGAACUGCGUCUGAUACUGGAUGGCUUGGAUUCGGGAGAGGAAUGCGGAAUUCCAGGUGUAGCGGUGAAAUGCGUAGAUAUCUGGAGGAACACCGGUGGCGAAGGCGGCAUUCUGGACCGAUAUUGACGCUGAGGUGCGAAAGCGUGGGGAGCAAACAGG
This 253-nucleotide ribosomal RNA is filed under the name uncultured bacterium. RNAcentral's name for it is "partial 16S ribosomal RNA". It matches the Rfam family "Bacterial small subunit ribosomal RNA", at positions 524 to 776 of the family's 1533-position model. The record is from RNAcentral.